UAAUUCCAGCUCCAAUAGCGUAUAUAAAAGUUGUUGCAGUUAAAAAGCUCGUAGUCGGAGGUGGGGCGUGCGGCGCGGGGCGCGCCAAUGGCGCGCGGCGCGCGCGGGCGCCUUCGUCGGUGCGAGGCGGGCGGCGCUUAGUUGCGGCGGCCGGCGAGUGCCGAUUUUUACUGUGAAAAAAUUAGAGUGUUCAAAGCAGGCGUUUGCUGUGAAUACAUUAGCAUGGGAUAUUGGAAGAAGCUCUGGCUUAUUCGUUGGUUGGUGGGCUGGAAGCAUGGUCAAGAGGAACGGUCGGGGGCACUCGUAUUUCAUUGUCAGAGGUGAAAUUCUUGGAUUUUUGAAAGACGAACAGCUGCGAAAGCGUUUGCCAAGGACGUUUUCAUUGAUCAAGAACGAAAGUUAGGGGAUCGAAGACGAUUAGAUACCAUCGUAGUCUUAACCAUAAACUAUGCCGAC
RNAcentral lists this ribosomal RNA (456 nucleotides) under Porphyridium purpureum. Its description in RNAcentral is "SSU rRNA". It matches the Rfam family "Eukaryotic small subunit ribosomal RNA", at positions 580 to 1046 of the family's 1831-position model. The record is from RNAcentral. Lineage: Eukaryota; Rhodophyta; Bangiophyceae; Porphyridiales; Porphyridiaceae.